This 367-nucleotide ribosomal RNA is filed under the name Cambarus deweesae. RNAcentral's name for it is "partial 16S large subunit ribosomal RNA". The stretch from base 43 to 367 matches the Rfam family "Bacterial large subunit ribosomal RNA", at positions 2048 to 2586 of the family's 2925-position model. The record is from RNAcentral. Lineage: Eukaryota; Metazoa; Arthropoda; Malacostraca; Decapoda; Cambaridae.
ACAAGAAAUAAUCUGUCUUAGGUUAAUAUAUUGAAUUUAACUUUUGAGUGAAAAGGCUUAAAUAAUCUGAAGGGACGAUAAGACCCUAUAAAACUUUAUAUUGAAAAGUGGUAGGUAUAACUUGUUUAAAGAUUAUUACUUUAAAGUAUUUGGUUGGGGUGACAAAAAUAGAAUGGAAAGUAACUGUUUUUUUUUUUUACAGUGAUGUUUGAGUUAAUGAUCCUAAAAUGGAUUAAAGAUUAAGUUACUUUAGGGAUAACAGCGUAAUUUUCUUUAAGAGUUCUUAUCGAUAAGAAAGUUUGCGACCUCGAUGUUGAAUUAAAGGUUCUUUAUGGAGUAGAGACUAUAAAAGAAGGUCUGUUCGACC